GCCUGAUGCUUAAAGGUAGAGUAAGGUAUAGGCAAAACAUGUUUAACAAUGUUAAUGUCAUACCUCGAGGCUACCCCCUUGAUGUAACACGGGACCUAAGAUCAUGAGUGGCCCCAAGCUAACCCUGUGUCUGACAUAUAUCAAGCAUACUGAGAAUAACUGAAUAGGACAUGUAAUAUGUGGAAGCUAAAACAAUGGAUAACUGAAAGUGGGUAAAACCCAACUAGUCUGAAUAUAUAAAAUAUAAUGAAAGUCUAGUGAUGACUGAAACACCACUUAACAACUCAAGCUGCAUCUAUUACUAUGUCUGAAAAAGCCUCUAACUGAGUUGAGUUGCUGGGACAUGCCCCAGUUAACUCUAACAAAAACUGAAAACUAAAAGCAAAGACUAAAAUGAAAGCAUCUCUAUUGUCCUAGGAACAUGAGGACUCACCACUGAAGCUGCUGAAUGCGGACUGAGAAUCGAUCUAAACGUCAUCUGAAUACUGAGGUACCUGAACCUACAUCAUGAAAGGAUGUAGCGCAUUGUAUGCGUCACUACUUGAAAUGUACUGAGCAUGAAUGAUAUAGAUACUAAGCUGAACAAAUAUAUAUAAGUUUAACAAAGCAUAACUGAGCAAUGACAUAAACUGAGCAAGAAUGUAAUUACUGAAACAUAACUGAAAAGUUAAGUUAAAUGCAAUGACCAAGUACUAAUCAUGAAAAUAACAUGCUGAACUGAAUGCUGAAGUAUAUACUGAAAACCUGGUCAAAUGCACUAAGGGUCUGACUGUGGGAGCUACUAUUAACCGACAUAAACCACGUGAGCUAAACGUGGAGUCCGAUGUAUACACCCCAUCUAGAGGACCCAUUACACCUUGCCAGGGGUAUAAAGGCAUGACUGGCGUGAUCACUAAAUCUAAUGCCCAACAGAGGGGACUUAUAAUCCUACGCGGGCACGUAGUUCUGUGACUAUGAGGGUACGCUGAACCCUAGUCCAACUCGGUGCUAAGUCUACUCCCAACUGAAUCUGUAUAUGACUAAAAUGUAACUGGAAUACUGAAUAGCUAAAAAUACUAACAUGCUAACUGAGAAUGCAACAUUUAUAAACUAAGAAUGUGACAUUCAAAAUCUGGAGCAUGGUUUUCUGUUUAACUAACCUAGCAAGUAUAAUUCAUGAACUAAGAGAAUUUACACAAACUAGGGUUCUGAGUUUUAUACAAGGAAUUAUGCAAAGUUUCCAAGAAAACAUGUUAUUUAGACUAUGGAUUCUAUAGCACCUAAAAUCACAAUAAAUUCCCUAGAUUUUACAAACCCUAGGUCUAAACAAGCUAUGUAGAAUCAAGGAACUGAUUGAAUUUUAAAGACCUAGUGGAUGAAAGGAAAUCACUAAUGAAAUAUCACAUACCCGGUGACGAAAACUAUGGAGAAAUCCUUUGGAUUUCGGGGGUGAACUUGAAGAAAACCUCCUGCUUGUUCUUGAGAGGGCUGAUCGACUUUCCUCUUCUUUUUGCUCUAAUUCGGGUGAUAUUUGGAGAAUAAAGGUUUUGGGUAGGUUCUGACUAGAUUAUUAGGUUAUGACUGAGUAAAACGACGUAGUUUAAGUGCCUAAUGCAUACGCAAAAGGACCAAAACAACCCUGACUUAAAACUGACGAGUGCCCUCUACUACAGGACUGACGGGCUGUCGUUUGAACUACCAACCAUCAUUUGGGGUCGUCGUUCAUGCUCUGCCCGACAGGGCUUCAUUAAAACAAGCAUAACUUUUUACUCCGAGCUUGGAUUUUAGCAAACUUGGUGGCGUUGGAAAGAGCAUUCAAUUAUAUUUAAUUUGAUAGGUCAUGAGCCACCUAAUUCAUGUUGUGCUAAAAGAUAUGACCGUUUAAAGUUGACCCAACAACCAUUUUUCUCUAAAUAACUGCUGAGCCUCACCUACGGUAAGACCUACGAUCCAUAGUCCAAUCACGGACCAUACUGGUCGACCGUGGGUGGGAUCAGAGACCAUCAAAAUUUGGACCUUCAGGACGAAACCCCACCUACGAUCUAUGGUUCUACCUAAGUCCGUGGGUGGUUCCGUUGGUAUUGGCACCAGUUUUAUGAAAACUAGGAUUUUCUCUAUUUUGUGAUCCGAGGUGUUACAUUUAAGUUGGAAGAUUAGGAUGAUAAGUAGAAUAUAUGCAUAACUACUAACCUAAACUUUAAACAAUGAAAAGAGAAACAAUAGAAUUUAGAUUGGUUAGCUUAUUAACCCAUUUUUUUUGGUCUUAAAUGAUUUCAAAUAGAAAACUUUACUUACUUUGCUCGACAUCUAAAAUAACAAACAAAACUUAAAAUUUAGAAUCUUUAAUAACACAAGGCAUCAUCUUGGACGUUAAACCAAUACAAAAAUAUGCAUGUUAGGUUCGACAAGGUUUAAACAAAGGAAAAAAUAAGCUCAAACACAUUUCGACUUGAGUUAGACACUAGUCAAUGAUGAUGAUAAACAAUCCAUUUUCAUGACUAAGAUUAGAAACAAAGGAAGAAGAAGCAAACACCUCAACUUCAUAGUAGACACGCGAUUUAAUCAAUAAAGGAAGAUAAGUGUAAUGAGAUAUUGAUGCUCAAACCGACAUGGCUGAGGAAUUUAAAAAGUUUAUAAGUUCAUGCAAGAGGAUGAUCUGCUAAGACCACGAUUCUUGAUAUUAUGAAAUAGCAGCUAAUUUAUCAAAAACCUCUGGAUCAACACAGUUACAAUGACUAUCAGCUCUAACAUAGAGCACAAACAAACUAGAAAGGAAAGUUUAAACUAAAUAGAAAGAAAAUGAGAAGCUACCUCUUUUGGCGCAACAAACCAGGACAAAUAAGCUUGAGCUUCUCACAAACCUUUCACCAUCGGUGGGGAAUUCUGACGAAUUCCAGAGAAUGAUGAAUAAAGCAAGAAAGAAAGAUUAAAACAAACUCAAAACGUUUUCAAAUUCAAUAUGUA
Molecule: long non-coding RNA, 2943 nt
Filed under: Solanum tuberosum (potato)
Lineage: Eukaryota; Viridiplantae; Streptophyta; Magnoliopsida; Solanales; Solanaceae
Description: long non-coding RNA (STUB_LNC008910)
Source: RNAcentral